AGAGUUUGAUCCUGGCUCAGAACGAACGCUGGCGGCGUGGAUAAGACAUGCAAGUCGAACGAGAGAAUUGCUAGCUUGCUAAUAAUUCUCUAGUGGCGCACGGGUGAGUAACACGUGAGUAACCUGCCCCCGAGAGCGGGAUAGCCCUGGGAAACUGGGAUUAAUACCGCAUAGUAUCGAAAGAUUAAAGCAGCAAUGCGCUUGGGGAUGGGCUCGCGGCCUAUUAGUUAGUUGGUGAGGUAACGGCUCACCAAGGCGAUGACGGGUAGCCGGUCUGAGAGGAUGUCCGGCCACACUGGAACUGAGACACGGUCCAGACACCUACGGGUGGCAGCAGUCGAGAAUCAUUCACAAUGGGGGAAACCCUGAUGGUGCGACGCCGCGUGGGGGAAUGAAGGUCUUCGGAUUGUAAACCCCUGUCAUGUGGGAGCAAAUUAAAAAGAUAGUACCACAAGAGGAAGAGACGGCUAACUCUGUGCCAGCAGCCGCGGUAAUACAGAGGUCUCAAGCGUUGUUCGGAAUCACUGGGCGUAAAGCGUGCGUAGGCUGUUUCGUAAGUCGUGUGUGAAAGGCGCGGGCUCAACCCGCGGACGGCACAUGAUACUGCGAGACUAGAGUAAUGGAGGGGGAACCGGAAUUCUCGGUGUAGCAGUGAAAUGCGUAGAUAUCGAGAGGAACACUCGUGGCGAAGGCGGGUUCCUGGACAUUAACUGACGCUGAGGCACGAAGGCCAGGGGAGCGAAAGGGAUUAGAUACCCCUGUAGUCCUGGCAGUAAACGGUGCACGCUUGGUGUGCGGGGAAUCGACCCCCUGCGUGUCGGAGCUAACGCGUUAAGCGUGCCGCCCGGGGAGUACGGUCGCAAGAUUAAAACUCAAAGAAAUUGACGGGGACCCGCACAAGCGGUGGAGUAUGUGGCUUAAUUCGAUGCAACGCGAAGAACCUUACCUGGGCUUGACAUGUAAUGAACAACAUGUGAAAGCAUGCGACUCUUCGGAGGCGUUACACAGGUGCUGCAUGGCCGUCGUCAGCUCGUGUCGUGAGAUGUUUGGUUAAGUCCAGCAACGAGCGCAACCCCUGUUGCCAGUUACCAGCACGUGAAGGUGGGGACUCUGGCGAGACUGCCCAGAUCAACUGGGAGGAAGGUGGGGACGACGUCAGGUCAGUAUGGCCCUUAUGCCCAGGGCUGCACACGUACUACAAUGCCCAGUACAGAGGGGGCCGAAGCCGCGAGGCGGAGGAAAUCCUAAAAACUGGGCCCAGU
Molecule: ribosomal RNA, 1262 nt
Filed under: metagenome
Description: bacterial SSU rRNA
Rfam family: Bacterial small subunit ribosomal RNA
Source: RNAcentral